RNAcentral lists this long non-coding RNA (298 nucleotides) under Homo sapiens (human). RNAcentral describes it as "non-protein coding lnc-HRH4-2:2". Lineage: Eukaryota; Metazoa; Chordata; Mammalia; Primates; Hominidae. The record is from RNAcentral.
GGAGAAGACACAGAGCCAAGCAGGACCUGGCCUGCAGCCCAAACCCUGUGGAAUCCCUACAUUCAAGGACCAGGUUGAAGUGAAGCCAUUGACAGGAACUGAGAUGCAGUAGUGUUCUGGAAGUCAAGUGAGGAGGAGGAUUGAAGAAGAGGUUGGUCAAAAUUCUGGGGGUUGCCCAGUGGAAACACCAGACUGCAAAGCUUUGAGAAGUCUGUAUGAGAUGAACAACUGGAAAAGGUUCUUCGUGAAGAAUUUGUGUGGUGAAGAGCUGGAAUAGCGGCUUGAGGGAGAGAAGCCA